Molecule: long non-coding RNA, 3629 nt
Organism: Cyanistes caeruleus (blue tit)
Lineage: Eukaryota; Metazoa; Chordata; Aves; Passeriformes; Paridae
Source: RefSeq, a predicted model, not a curated record
AAUAAAGUCCUCCUUUUUAUUUUCCUAAACCACAGGAAUGAUAGAUUAUUAAUCAUGAUUAAUGCUCAGUUACAGUGAAUUAUAGUAGAGCAGUGCCUGGAAAUCCCAGUCUGCUUGGUAAACUCAUUUUCUUGCAUAAUAGAAAACUUACCUUGCAUUUAAGAGAACCCAAACAGAUGAAGAUGAAAGCAAUGGAACCACCCAUUUAAUAUAAUUAAAAGAAAAAUUUAAUAGAUAUAUACAUUCUUAGUCUGACACUAUUGAACUUUUUUUGAUACUGUACAAGCAUAAUAGGAGAAAUACAAUUACAAGCAUCUUAAUUGUUCCCGUAUUUUGCUUUGUUCAUGAGAACCAAAGCCUUCUAGAGCUCAGCUGUAGCACUCAGCCUGAAUCCCUAAGCAGCACUGCAAGUUAAGGCAGACUUGUGCGUUGUCUGGACUUUUGGAAGAUGUUGGUUGUUCUAGUUGAUGAUUUCUCAAGAGAAUAUGAAUGAUCAAAGUGCUUUAGGAAGCAGAGGAAAGUCGAAUGAGGUAAUAUAAUAUAUUCCAUCCCUGUAUUUGGGGAUGUACAUGGGAUAAUUUUUGCCAGUCCCACAUCUCAGGGACUUCUUGUACACGGAGAGUAAGGCACCAGAGCGAUAUUGUGGAAAGGCCCAUGGUCAGUCAGAGAACUUAAUAUCCUUUGAGAUAACUGACCUUUGAACUUUUGGAAACCCCCAGAGGCUUUUCCAAUAUUUAGCAAACAUCAAUUCCCCUAAAGUUUACAUCCUAAUCCGUAUUGUGUUCUGAGAACAGAGUGAAGGAGGCAAAAAGACAUUUUUGUCUCAAGGAUGAGACUGCUGGGUCAUUUCCAAGAGGAGAUCCUUAGAGAGCAUCCCAUGGUCCUUUCCUGUGGAAGGUAGCAAUGCAGCUCUCCGUUAUUCUCUCUGUCUCUCUCUUCCCCCAAGCAAUCUGUCAGUGCAUUUCUGGUGCCGGGGAGAGGCGUCGUGUCGGAGCGCUGUUCCCGUUUGCAAAACGGGAACUUCUAUUUGUUGUUCUCAGGAGCUGGUUUCACGCGCUGACAUCUCCCCGGGAGCACAGCUGAGUCCAACAUGUUCCCAACAGCCAUCCACCCAAACGCCUCCUACUCGAGCACCCAGACCUUCCUUCCCAGUAAAUAAAAAAUACAGAGACUGCCUCAAAUUGUUCCAAACGCUUCGGUUUCACUGGAAUGUCUACCCAUGUUCAGAUCUGAUAAAUGGGUGUUUUUCUGCACCAGGAAGUCAGCUUAGUGUGGGAAUAGGAUGACUUUUCAAAGAGUUUCUGGAAUAGUUAAUGGAAAAGUCUGACUGACUUUCUCUGGUGUUAAUAUGUUUAAGUGCUCCUAUGUGUCAUGAAAAUACAAUGUUGCAAUUAACAACUUUAUAGCAGAAAACAAAAUUGUCAUAGGCUGCUGAUUCUCCUGUGUUGUAUGAAAUAACAUGUUUUUCAAGGUUUCAUUGCUCUAAAAGGUCUCAAAAAAUCUACUUCCUAAAGCAAGAAACUGAGCAAUGUGCUCUUGUACAGUUUAGGCAAGGAGAUAUUGCUGCAUUAUUUAAAACACCACCAUGCAGUACAGCAGCAGCUCUCAAUAUAUCCCAGUGUGAUUCCAUUCAUGUUGCUGGGACAUCCUGGCUAAGCAUGGCUAAAGUAAUUCUGGUUUUGACCUUGCCUGUGCCCUGUAGUAGACAUGACCUCAGUAUGCCAACCUAUCAAUUACAACACACAAAAAAAAAUAAUAAAAAAAUAAUCUUUUUGUAUAUUGAUUUCUAUCAAAAGAAAAUAAAAAGGGUUGGAAAAAAUUCCUACAUUUGUGCCAAAAAGCCCCCAGUCCAGUUCCACAGCUGAAUGAGACUUCACUUGCCAUGAGUUAUACUGAUGUGGUCAGUGGGUUUUUUCUUGCAGACUCAGAACUGGAACAAGACAUCCUGGCUUGAAAGGCAAGUUCCCCCUCUCUGAUUCCCUCACUGACAACAUUUUGGGGUAUGCCACCCUCUGGUUUCCCCUCCUGGGCUCCAUCCAGCCAUUGUACAUGAAAUCUCCCUUUUGGAGAUUGGCAUCAAGAGCAAGAACUGCCAAUAUACAUCUUGAUCAGUGCUUCCCUAGGAAAUGACAGCAAGGAGGCUGGAGAGGCACAAGAAGAUGGGAGGGGACACAACCAGAACAGCUGACCCCAACUGGCUAGAAGGAUAUUCCAGACCAUAUGGCAUCAAUAUAAAUUAGGAAGAAAAAGAGCAGGGUUUUCUGCUCAGAUAACUGACUGGGCAUCAGUUGGUGAGUGGCACAAACCAGCAUCUUGCAGUCCUGGAGAAGAGGAGUCUGCAGAUUCCCUGCGUCCUUCUGAAAUUAGAUUUAGUACAGAGGCAUAGGAGGGCUCCAAGUCUAUUUGUGAUAAGGGACAGAGGAUUUAAGAGGUGGUCUGUUCUGCUGAACAGCGACUGCAGCAAUGCAGGUGAUCCAAAGCAGCUCUUGGAGCAACUGUUUAGGAGGAGACUCCACUGAAGGAGAAGGAGAAUUGAUCUCUGACCCUCCUAGGGCUCAUCCACAUCUUACAAGCAAAGGACAAGGGAGCCUGUGGCUCUACUCAAUGCUGGCAUUUGUUCCAAGUCCAUCCUGGCAGUGGCCCUUUGUCUCACGCCCCUGCUGCAAGGAGUCCCAAAGGUUAAUGCUAAACUGUGUGGAAAACUGCAGCAGUUUAGGACCUGUAACUUUUUAAUUUUCCCCUGAGGCAUGUUGGUGUAUCAGCGCAGCAAAACCACCAAGGGAACGCUGCUUUUUAUCCCGUGCCCUGCUGUGCUACCUGUCUGUUAAAUGUAUCACAUGCUCAUCACUGAACAAGCCGUGUGCCAUGUCCGUUCAGUCCUGAGAUGACACAGGCAGAGCUACACCAGACCUGAUGGAUGAAAACUUGUACCUAUGAAGGCUUGAUCUGAACUCACUUGGUCUGAAAGGACUCACAGAACGAUGAAACCCAAACCUCAGGGUUUGACAGCAGUGCUUCAAAAGAGCAAAAGCCAAAGGAAAACAAAACACUUUUUCUUGAUUGUUUAAGGGAUGUAAUAGCCUGCCAAGGAGGGAGUAUCUCUGCAUGCAUGUGCCAGCAGCUUACCUGGAUGGUCCUCACUGCUCGGCGUCACCCCAGGGAGGGCCAGUAGAGGCAGGGAGCUGGUGCGACGGUCUUGGUGGAGAGAAGAAGACAAAAUUGAAGAGGGAUAAAUGUCAAAUAAAUGUGGUCUGGCACAGCUAUCACCCUCAGCCGCUUAGUGACAGUCAUUGACCUCAGGCAUUGUUGCUCUGAGGUCAAACAGAAGCAAGUGCGCUUCCUUGCAGAGGGAGGUUACCUGGCAUGGUGUGCUGUUUGUGUUACCCUCUGUCUUGUUUCAAGAAAGGAAGCAAAAAAUAAAACAACUGCCAGGAGAGAAAGUUCCACCCAAGAAGAGGUGAAGAGGAUCACCAGCAAACACAGCAAUUCAGAUCUCGGCUGUUGGAAGAGUUACAGAAUAAAUAUACGGUAGUGCUGACAUUCAGUGCUGUUUCAUCUUAGCAAAGAGUUUUUAAUAAAGAAAAUUCUUUUCAAGGAAUGCUUUCUGCAGCCAUUCUUCAAAAAGAGGU